Molecule: long non-coding RNA, 1105 nt
Filed under: Anolis carolinensis (green anole)
Lineage: Eukaryota; Metazoa; Chordata; Lepidosauria; Squamata; Anolidae
Description: lncRNA (ENSACAG00000041612.1)
Source: RNAcentral
UGUCAGUAGUGAUGGAGUAGUUCAGAUCUGGGCAGCCGGCAUGGACCAACCCUAAAGCUAUGGGCAGGCUCUGAAACUAGUGUUUUGUUCUUCUAGCAGUAAAAAUAUAUUGAAAAAAUAUUGGACAAAGCAUUUUAAAACUAGAAGAGAUGAAAUGCACAGGUCUGCAUAGCUCAUAUAAUGUCUGUGCUAUAAGAAUAUACUAUUUUCUGAUACGUUCUCUUCUUCAUCUGCUGUGAUGUAUUUACUUAGUGAAAUAGCAUAGAGUUGAUAGUGUUGUGGAGUGCAAGGAAGACAGACUAAUGAACAAUUUCUAUUGGAUCACAUAGCAUCUGCUAAUACUUGGGAUUCCUAUAAGAAACUCAGUAGGGUGGACUUUUGUGUGAUCCAUCAAUACAUUGCCUAUGUUUAUGCAGGUGUGAAUACUAAGGACCAAGGUGUGAUGUUCUAUAAACAGAAAAGCAAUGAACUAUCUGGUUUAAUUUAUUGCAGAUCUACCCUAAACACUGUGCACUGAUUUACCAGCAAGAUCAAACUUAUAUUCUUCCUGUCCAAUCCAAAACAAAAAAAUAGAGGGAGAGGAGAGAAAUCUCACUGGCUCUAGUGGAAACUAUUUUUAUUGCAUUGUUAUUGUUAUUGUUGAUUCUAUUGAGAUAUGUUUUAAUCUAUGUUUGGUUUUAAUUUUUGUUGGAUCAAGCUCGUCCCAUGUAAACCACCCCGAGUCCUUUGGGGGAGAUGGAGGUGGGAUAUAAAAGAAUAAAGUUAGUUAUUACCACUAGUGCACAAGUUUUUUUUAAUGUAACUCUUUAGAAGACAGAACUAAGAAGACUAAUGACUAAGUGUUAACACCAAUAUAAAUAUACAUGUGCUUCAUACUUUGCCUGCCUGUAAUGCAUUGGGAAUAACAUUUUUGUAGACAAUCAAAAGCAUGAAAAAUUAGGUAACAGCUGUAUCAGAAGAAUCACAUGACUCAAACCCUGCUGUAACCCCAGGCAAGCACUUAAGCUGUAACGAGAUAUAUAGACUUUUGUACCAUCUGUGUGUCUCAAAACAUCAGCACUGCAGAGAUGUUUUGCUGGGAUCAUAUAUGCACGCCCUGUUUUGA